UGGGGAAUCUUCCGCAAAUGGGGCGCAAGCCUGACGGAGCAACGCCGCGUGAGUGAAGAAGGUUUUCGGAUCGUAAAGCUCUGUUGAGAGGGACGAGAGGCAAGGCUAGGAAAUGAGCUUUGUAGGACGGUACCUUUCGAGGAAGCCACGGCUAACUACGUGCCAGCAGCCGCGGUAAUACGUAGGUGGCGAGCGUUGUCCGGAAUUAUUGGGCGUAAAGGGAGCGCAGGCGGGAGGUCAAGUCUAUCUUAAAAGUGCGGGGCUCAACCCCGUGAGGGGAUGGAAACUGGUCUUCUUGAGUGCAGGAGAGGAAAGCGGAAUUCCUAGUGUAGCGGUGAAAUGCGUAGAUAUUAGGAGGAACACCAGUGGCGAAGGCGGCUUUCUGGACUGUAACUGACGCUGAGGCUCGAAAGCGUGGG
RNAcentral lists this ribosomal RNA (419 nucleotides) under uncultured Veillonellaceae bacterium. RNAcentral's name for it is "bacterial SSU rRNA". It matches the Rfam family "Bacterial small subunit ribosomal RNA", at positions 355 to 765 of the family's 1533-position model. The record is from RNAcentral. Lineage: Bacteria; Bacillati; Bacillota; Negativicutes; Veillonellales; Veillonellaceae.